Molecule: transfer RNA, 71 nt
Filed under: Camelus bactrianus (Bactrian camel)
Lineage: Eukaryota; Metazoa; Chordata; Mammalia; Artiodactyla; Camelidae
Also listed under: 1 other name
Rfam family: tRNA
About the family: Transfer RNA (tRNA) molecules are approximately 80 nucleotides in length. Their secondary structure includes four short double-helical elements and three loops (D, anti-codon, and T loops).
Source: Rfam by way of RNAcentral
GAGGGUAUAGCUCAGUGGUAGAGUGCAUGCCUAGCAUGCAUGAGGUCCUAGGUUCAAUCCCCAGUACUCCA